RNAcentral lists this transfer RNA (73 nucleotides) under Camelus ferus (Wild Bactrian camel). It matches the Rfam family "tRNA". From Rfam's summary of the family: Transfer RNA (tRNA) molecules are approximately 80 nucleotides in length. The record is from Rfam by way of RNAcentral. Lineage: Eukaryota; Metazoa; Chordata; Mammalia; Artiodactyla; Camelidae.
GAGGGUAUAGCUCAAGCGGUAGAGCGCAUGCUUAGCAUGGAGAAGGUCCUGGGUUCAAUCCCUAGUAUCCUCU